UUUAAUUGAAACCAAAGACGAGGUAUGUCACUGUUAAUGACACUAUUGAAAUAAAAAUUUCCAAUUAA
RNAcentral lists this transfer RNA (68 nucleotides) under Anthicidae sp. 1 ACP-2013. Its description in RNAcentral is "tRNA-Asn". The record is from RNAcentral. Lineage: Eukaryota; Metazoa; Arthropoda; Insecta; Coleoptera; Anthicidae.